AGAUUUCCACUACUCAACAGCAUAGCAGUGGUACUAUUUCUUUUGAUGUUUGCUUGUGUACUCCAGAUUAUGGACUUGGUGGACCGGUUCAAGAUGACAAGGUUGCCAUCCUGGUAUAUUGUGAGCUCCAAUGAGGUGAUAUUCUUGAUUGGCUUAUCCCUAUUUGCAACCCAUGCAGAAGUAAAUUUGGGGAUCGUAUUGAACCAUAUGCCGAGGUACCAAUUGUUAGUGUUUCCGGAGGAUUUGCUGCUUGUUUCGAAGAAGCCCAGCGCGUACCUGCCGUUCCUGGAGACGAGCUUGUCGUUGACGGUGAGUGCUUGGCCGGCCAAGAUGGUCUCCGUUGUCGCGGCAGAACAUGCUGACAUGUACAGGAAGAGGAGCAAUGCGAUAUCUAAGAGGAGAUGCAUGAUGAACUGA
Molecule: ribosomal RNA, 417 nt
Filed under: Triticum aestivum (bread wheat)
Lineage: Eukaryota; Viridiplantae; Streptophyta; Magnoliopsida; Poales; Poaceae
Description: partial small subunit ribosomal RNA
Source: RNAcentral